Molecule: RNase P RNA, 344 nt
Filed under: Winmispira thermophila DSM 6578
Lineage: Bacteria; Pseudomonadati; Spirochaetota; Spirochaetia; Winmispirales; Winmispiraceae
Description: Spirochaeta thermophila DSM 6578 Bacterial RNase P class A
Rfam family: Bacterial RNase P class A
About the family: Ribonuclease P (RNase P) is a ubiquitous endoribonuclease, found in archaea, bacteria and eukarya as well as chloroplasts and mitochondria.
Source: Rfam by way of RNAcentral
CCGGCAGGUCGGGCCAUCGCCUCCUGAUCUCAUGGAGGAGGAAAGUCCGGGCUCCAUAGAGCAGGGUACCAGAUAACAUCUGGGCGGAGAUGCGAUACCAUCUCCGACAGAAAGUGCCACAGAAAGGAUACCGCCUGCCCCUCUGGCAGGUAAGGGUGAAAUGGUGGGGUAAGAGCCCACCGGCACGCUGGUAACAGUGGGCGCAGGGCAAACCUUACCCGGAGCAAGGUCAAGCAGCGGGGGCUUGCUCGGCCGUACAACCCGCGGGUGGACCGCUCCAGCCUCAAGGCGACCAGAUAAAUGAUGGCCUAGAACAGAACCCGGCUUACGGGCCUGCCGGCUUU